Carassius auratus (goldfish) is the source of this 1492-nucleotide long non-coding RNA. RefSeq lists it as uncharacterized. The transcript has 7 exons. The record is from RefSeq and is a predicted model, not a curated record. NCBI's taxonomy places the organism in Eukaryota, Metazoa, Chordata, Actinopteri, Cypriniformes, Cyprinidae.
UCGUUUUCUGGUCUAAAUCAAGUCGGCCCGUCAUGGCCAUCUUUUAGACCAAAAAGCGACGUUGAAAAUUGGUCUUCAUUUGGUCCGUCGGAUUUGGUCCAAAUUAAGCCCAAAAAGCGACGUUGAAAAUUGGUCUUCGUUUGGUCCGUCGGAUUUGGUCCAAAUUUAGCCCAAAAAGCGACAUUUAACGUCUUUUUUUUUUUUUUUUUUUAAUUUAGCCCAAAAAUAGAUGUAAAUGGGCUUUAGUCCAAAUUUAGCAGAAAAAAAAACUUUUAUUUCGCACCACAAAGCCAUUAACAUAAACUAGUGAAGAAAUUAGACAUCAUGUCUGAUCGCACUGUUAAAUAUAUUUAAAUAUAUUUUGAAAACACUUGAUGGUCACGCGCUGUACUGGAGUCACCAUGGAAACGGGGCUCAGCUCAACCGUCAAGCAGCUGAACAGACGCUGUCUCUCAUGGUUGUUUUCACUAAUUUCAGUUUAUAGAAAUGGUCAGUGUCUUCAUGAAAAGUCCGUUAGCAUCUCAACUGUAAUGCUAACUACAAGAGAUUCUUCCAUGCUGAUGGCCGUGCCUGUAUCCAGCUGAAGAACAUUUUUAGACAUUAUGAAACAUAUAACUAAGACUGAAAAUCAUUGAUAAACCACAAGCUCCAACCCCAGUUAAGCAGACCUGAGCAGCCGAUCAAGGAUCAGCAGAAACUCUGCAGAACGGUGCUCCUCCAGCCCAGGACUGGACACCAGUGUUAGUUUUGCACCAACCUAGUGCAGUGCACCUGAACACAUUAAUCAAGGUCUUCAGUUUUGCUAACUAUAAGUCACAGACAGAUGCUGCAGAAAAAAGAGCGAGGCUAAAGCAUUCAAAGUGGAAACAUCUGCCGUGGCUCAUUAAUCCAGAAUUGGGACGGAGAAAGGAGCAGAAGAAGCAGAAGAUCAGAGAUCAGGCAGAGAUCUACUGGUGCCCCUGUGGGAACCCCAUUUACCUAAUGUGUUAGUUUAACCAAAGAUUUUCCUCACUCACCUUUAUGUUGUUCCAAACCAGACUUUUGUUCAUCCUUGAAACAUAAAUGCAGAACUUUUUAAUGAAAUCUGAGAUUAUUUUCUUUAUAUAAAAUAACACAUUCACACAAGCACCAUGAUGCAUCAGUGUUGCAUUGGCGUGAGAGCUGGCGCUUUUGGUGCUUUUGUGAAAAUCCAUUGGGGAGUCAUAAUUUCUGAAUAGAUUAUUUUUGCUGUUGUUAUUGUUUGUUUGUUUUUUUUUUGUACACAAGGCAUCUGUUAAAAAAAUAUCUUAAUUUGUGUUCUGCACAAAAGGGUGUUAUGGGUUUGGGGCAACAUGAGGGUAAGUAAUUAAUGACAGAAUUAAAAUUUUUGGUUGUUCUAAUGUGGUUAUAAUUGGUCAUAGUUUAUUUGUCUUGAAAAAAUAUAUUUAUACAGAAACAUGGAUUAAUUUGAUAAGUUUAUAGUAAAGCCUUUUAAAUUGAUAAAAAAAAAAAA